GGAAGAUGAGCUGAACAGUUUGAUGCCUUCAACCCCAGACACUGCCCGCAGUAACCGUCAUGCAGAGAGUAUGCUGUGUUGAAACCUUGUUUGCUGGUUUCUGCUGUUCAUGCAAAUUGUCCAAAGCACAUAAGUAAGUGUGUAGUAAUUGUCUGCAAAUUGUGUGUCUGCUCCAUGUCCAGUACAAAGGGACUUUAGUGGCCGCUGUUAUAUAAAUGCGGUAUAACGUCUCUGCAAAGCUUUCAUUACUCUGAGCCUGAGUGGUUUCGGAGCUGGAAGCGCCUGCUGCCACACUGAUGAUUGGAGUAUGUUGCUUUUUAGGUUCCCUUUCACAAAGUAUCUUACGAAAGUAUAAGAGUCUGGACAUCAUUCAUUUUCAUUCUUGUAUUUUAAAAUAGGCUUGUUUUAAAUAAUGUCAUUGGCCAGCACUGUGCUCAGAUACUUGCUGAGGCAGAAAUAAUUUGAUGUCAGCAGAUAAAAUGGCUGUCUCAGUGCAGCACGUUAAUGGCUCUUGUGGCCAGCAUACACCUCGGUGCUGAUUUAUUAUCAGUCCGGGGGAAGGUGGAAGGAUUCCAGGGCUCCCCCCACCCACUGAGUUGGAAAGGUCUGGGCAAGGAACAAAUUGCUCCUUGAACUGUAAAAAAAGUAAAAUACAGGAAGAUUUUCUUUUCUGUGAGUUUAAAGGAGAAAAGGUAAAAACAGUUUUCAGCUAAUCCUCACAUACCCUGCUGAGAUGGGUAUUAUUGUUCUCGUUUCACUGAUGGGAUGGUGGCUGGGAAGAGGAGGGGCAGGGAAGAAGAAAAGAAAAAAGAUUAAGGGUCUGAUGCAACUCCCAUCUAUGUCCCGCUCCUGUGAAUGUGUACUUAUGUACUUCAUUUAUUCACGGGAGUUGGGCUAUGGCCUUCAGUGGGACUACUCAGUCCAUGCGGGUCAAUGUAAGCCUUCACAAGUUCAAAAUCUAUUAAAGAAGGUUUCCUAUAGACUUAGUGGAAGCUGGAGUCAGAUGUAGCUGUAGCAUUUCUUUCCCUGUGGUCACAAAGAUGUUUGAAUUGCCAAUUUUGUUCCCUGUUUCUGUUUUCAGACUGUUGACUUAUACAACUCUCAUGAGCUUCUCACAAGCCAUGACAAUAUUGGAGGUAUUUCUUUCUACUUUAGUGAUGAGAGCUUUCCUUACCUACCACAUGUGAACUCACACAAUGAAAUGUUCCUGCACAAAAGCAAAUUCUUUUUAGAUGCUCUGACAUUUCAUUUUCAAAGGCUUGUAGAAAAGCUUGACUUUGGGCUCCCCGACCAGCAGCAGCUUCGAUGAAGGAACGUGGAGGGAAGCAAGUUCAAAACAAAUAGAAGGAAAUAGCUGGUGCCCUAGUGAUCAGUGAGUCCCAGCAAAGAUUAGAUGCAAGAACAAGAAAUUGAUGAAUUCAAGUAGAAACUAUCAAGUAUUUCUACAAAUAGUGGCUUUUUCAUGGCUCAUGUGAGGGCUGACUUUGAUGUCUAAGAUCAAAUUCAAGCUGAAACUUCCUUCCGUGUUGCGAUGUUUUGCAGGUUCUUUUCCUUCAUCACACACCUGGUGCCUGGUGAGGUGUGAAUAUAUGCUCAGCCUUUCCAUGGUGGGAACAUUCAGACUGCAUGGUGGUGGGGCCUCUCUCUCUCUACUACCCUCCCAGCCUCACUCACCCAAAGCUCACUCUCUUAUUCUCAUAGAAUCAAAGAAUCAUCAUCAUAGAAUCACUUGAGUUGAAAGGGACCCUGAAAGGCCAUCUAGUCCAACUCCCCUGCAAUGAACAGGGACACCUACACUAGAUCAGGUGCCUAGAGCCCCAUCCAGCCUGACCUUGAAUGUCUCCAGGGAUGGGGCUUCCACAAUUCUCUGAGCAAGUUGUUCCGGUGCCCUCUACCCUUCUGUUAAGUUCAGUUGAACUAGGCUGACGCGUUCAAAAGCCAUUCAGAGGAGCCAAAACAAAUACUGUGUGAGUGCAUUCACAUUGUUUACGUGAGAACUGGGCUGAAAAUUCCCCCCAGCCCUAAGCCAGAGAUUUUGACCAGAUAAUAGCCUUGCGUUCAGGGCACAAGGGCAUCUGUAAUUCCCGAGGCUGAGAAGGGACUUGCAGAAGACUUUUUCUCAGGAGUCACCAGUUCCUGCGAGGCUUCGUGCACCCUGCCUGUGGAGCAGCAACAGAAAGAUACUGGAAAACAGGAAUGCUUUUCCAGGGCAGCACAAGAAGCCUCACACCGCUCCUGGAUGACAGAAACCCAAAAGCCAAUAUGACAAAAUGGUUGGCGCCACAACAAAGAAAAUGCAGGUGCCGAAUGGAGGCAUUGUUCAAUGUGUCCAUGCGCAUUAUUGUAAUGCAGCGUGUUGUCCAGUGAAAAGAUGCCUACAUGGCUGGCGAGGGAGCACUGCCAGGGAAGGGCUGGCCCCAGAGAAGCUGCAUUGUCCGAGCCAGGCAGAAAGUUCACAUAACUCCCACAUUGGCUGGCAACUGCUGCCUACGGGGAACAGCUUACCAGCCUGACGUGAGGCAUUAUGCUCCCUGCCCGUGGAUUUGCACCUAAGAAGAACCGAUGCAUAAAGCCAGUCUCAAAAUCAUCUCGGAGCUCCGUUUUCUUCAGAGCUAGCAUUGCUCUGGCGAACUGCCCAGGGAUUUAGACUCAGCUAAUCCAGGCUUGGCUCUCCAUGGCAGACACCCGUGGAACAAAGGAAAGAAAGCUUCCACGACCCUGUCAAGUUUCUGGUAAAUCACUCAGCCAGGUGCAGAAAGUGGGAUAGGCGGUCGCCAGCGAGCUUUCUUGGAUCAGAGAGAGGCAAAUCCCUGGAGGGGGGAACAGAAGAAGCUUUACAGAUUUUCUUGCCAUAAUUUACCAAGCCUGUGUGCAGCGCUCCGAGCAUGCAGUGCCUGUGCGUUUCACACAAUCCUUCCAGCGAGCUGUGCUGAAGCACACUGCCCUGCCAACGUGUGCUCCAAGGGUUUCUGGUGCACGCUGGUUGCUUGGUUUGUCUUCAAAGUGGGCAAAGCUGUUCCUAGGACUGUCUCUCAGAUGAGCACAGGCACUGGACAGAUUUUAAUCAUUUUUCUAAAUUGCAAGGAAGGAAGUAUUAUUGAUGUUAUUCUUUUAAUAACUAUUUUAAUAACUAUUUUUAUUCCGACUCACUUAGGUAGGAGAUUGCUUGGAGAUACAUCAUCUCCUUUGUGUGAAUUUUUAUUUAGAAAGAGAGAUACACUGGCAAUCUUGUAGAAAAAGAAGAAUAGAAAGGAAAGGAAAGAGAAAAGGAAAAAAAAAAGAGAAAAGAAAAACCUGAAAGAAAGUCAAAGAGUGCUUGCAUCCUUUAAACUGGACAAGAAAAGAUAGACAGUUUCUGGAGGAAGUAGGUCUGCUUAUUACAAGUCUCCUGAUUUUUCCUUGCUAGAAACAAUUUGAAAAGAAAACAUUGGCUUUGCUUUCCUAUUGGAUUUCUAGGGGGUGAGUUCUUCUGAAGCGAUGUUUUUUGAGUGCUGAUAUUCUCUGAUCCAAGAUAGCCAAAGUCUGGGCUAUAACCCAAGCGUAGGGAUUGUGCAUGAUAAUUUGAAAUUCAGUUCUAGAACCAUAACACCGUCUGUUUCAUCAGCAAACAGAAGUAGUAGAUAGAUGUCUUCACCAAUACCAGACAUAUGCCCACAGAAUAUAUUUCUUUUACAAAGAAUUAAAACAUGAAAUUAAGGAAAUGUUGAUGACCUUUAAGCACAAAUGUGCUGAACUUCAAGCUCAAGUGCUUCCCUAAGUCAAGGUACAAGUAACUUUUAUAAAAUACUGCAUCCUGUCUCUCAGGUGAAGGUCAGGUAUUAUAAAACCACCAACAACAGUUAUGAGAGAUUCUGUACCUACGCAUUCAAUAACAGCAGCAUACAUAUGUUCAAGAAAUGUGUAGAUGUGGCACUAAGGGACUUGGUUUAGUGGGCAUGGUGGGGACGGGUUAACAGUUGGACUUGAUGAUCUUGGAGAUCUUUUCCAACCUUAAUGAUCCUAUGAUUCUAUGACAUCUAUCUGAAUAUUGUGAUAUAUUUGUUGUAAAGUCAAAUCUGAUUUGUUAUUUUUGCUCAUUUAUAACAUUCUGAGGAUGACACUUUUGAAGUGACACUCAUACAAUUUAUGUGUAUAUAUAUAUGUGUGAUAUAUUUGACCUAAAGGCAAUUUUAAAAAAGAUUUGCAUAAAAUAUUUCAGAUCCACUACUAGGAUAAGAGGAAAUGAGGUGUAUGGCUCUCUCAGUCAAAACCACUUUCAGCACCUUGCUUGGUAGACCCUAGAGCUGGCGGCAGAAGAUCACUGUGAGCAGUAACCCCAAUCCAGAAGACUGCUUUUAAAUAUUCUAAUUAAGUUGAGGUUUGAUUGGCAGCACGUUUUGCCCUCAAUCUGCUCGCUAGAUGUGCCCUUACAGGAGUGGUAUAUCUUCCUGUAUCAGGGGCUUCUCUGUCUAACCUAGCAAAGCAAAAGGUUAAGGUUGCUCUCCGUGAGUAUAUAUGGGAAGAAGUGCUGUUUCACCUGAAGGACGGUGCUUCCACAGGACAGGUACAUGCAUCGUCCGUGAGUACAUUUGCAAAGGUUUCUAAACAUCAGAUAAGAGGAAUUCUGCAAUAUCACCCUGGUGUGAAUGACACAAUAAGAUGUCACUUGGUUCAUUUGUGAUUGCUUGCAAAGGCAGAGAACUGGUCUGCUUGACUCAAAACAUUGCUGCUGCUCCUGCAUUUCAUGGGCUUUAAGAGCAGAAGAGCUCAUUGGACCACCUGGAUGGAACUCUGCACAGGCCAUAGACCUCACCCAGUUCCUCUUUCCUGCGGCAAGCAACUUGUCUGAUUUAAGCAUUAUCUUACAGAAAGUUGUUCAGUCUUGGUGUAUUAACACCAGGAUCCACUCCUUGCCCUGAGGUUUGUUACAGCCUUAAUUCUUCCAUUAAUUAAAAUGGACAACUUUUCUUUUGGGGGCAUGAACUUGUUCACCAGUAUCUCUGAUUCCUAUUUGACUUUCCAUCGGCAAAUUGUGAACCCUUCUGGUGUAGGAAAGCACAACCAUUUCUGCUUCAAAUGCAAAGGAUGUCUCUGUGUUGUCUCAGCUGGCACUUGCCAUAGCUCUGUCAUCAAAGGGGGAUCACCUUCUUCCCCAUUUUACAGAGAGGAAGGUUGCAGCGCAGAGGAUGAAGCUUAGCUCACCAACAUGAAGAAGCAAUGACUUUGCUAGAUGUGUACGAAGACCUCCCUGUAUGGCACAAGGUCCGUGCCGGAUUGCAGCACUACCCCUUUGUCCAGACCUCCGAGAGCCAAACGAAGCCAACCAGUUGUUCACAGCAUCUGUUCCUGCUGAAAGCACAGCAAAUAGCUUCUCAGCAAAGAGAUUUCUCUUUGGGAAGGAUCACUGAGCAGCCAGAAAGACAAAUUAAAUUAGGAAGCAUAAAGCAGAAGGCCAUGAGUAGAAGGGAAAAGGAUAUACCGUGUGAAUCAGAUCAUGUGCAAAGAAGUCAAGUGUGCUUGUUUUUUUCAGGAAUGUCUGAAUAUUUUUAUACUUUAAGAAGAAGAGAACGAUGGCACAGUCUGUUUAGGGGCAAUGGGAAGGAAAAAGCAAAACAAAACAAGUGGGGCCAUGAGACAUGGUGCGAUUUGCAUCUAAAUACGUUUUAGCUAUAAGAACAUGUUCAGAGGAAAGCACAGUAUUGCCAGUUCACGAGACUAACUUUCUGAUAUCUUUGUGGGAACCAAAUGAAUUGCAAAACAUCUGCAAGGUCCAAAGUGUCAAUUAUGCCUUUAUGUAGAUGGAGGAAAUGUCACAUGAUUGAGGCAGUCAUUGGACAUGGUCAAUUGUACGUUUUUAUCCUCUGCUUAGCCUUAAAGCCUCACUCAACAGUCCCCUCAGACAAAGGCACUGUCAGAGAGGGAGAUGGAUCAGUUUGGCCACUCUCAGGAGUUGCUUAUCAGCACAGAAAGUGUCCCUGGCCUCGGACAGCUCUGACAUUCUGUUUGCAUAUCCUGCUUCACUGGUGCAGCUACGAGUCCGCCUCAAGAGCCGUGCAGCGAGACGUAGCCAGGCGAACAACCCAACACAAAGCCCAGAUACCGGCGGGGAUUUGGAAAAGGAACCACACAAACAAGCAGGUUUCAGAUACUUAUCUUAGACCAUACCUGUGUUUCUCCGUCAGGUUUCUCCUCCAGCUCACAAGCGACAAGUUUUUUGAAACAUGCCAACUGCCCAGAAGCAUCUCGCAGGAAUGUGUAAAACGAAGUCAUGCAUCAUUCAGGGAUUGCAGGAGCUGCCAAAGCAGAAGAAUGGUUUUGAAAGGCCCAUAUGUGUAGCAGUGAAUGCCAAAUAUCUUCAUUUUAAUGGCUCGCGUGUUACAGUUUAUAUUGAGCACUUCAACAAGUCCCAGCAAUAUUCUUUCUGGAUUUGCAAACUUGCGUUACUUCUCAAGGAAACUUUUAAACCCAGCAACAUUUGUACUGAACAAUUAGUGCGUGUUUUACUGCAGUCAACAUCUGAAGCCAACAGCAUCUCUACACUGUAAAACUGCACCAAAACGCCACUGGCACCGCUUCCAGCUGGUGGGAUGGUACAGCUCCCUUCGCAUCAAGGGAGCCUUGGAUGGGGCUUGUGGUCAUUACCAUGAUAAAUUAUCAUGCUAUUACAUCACCGUGGAUGCUUAUCUAAAGUCUGACAUCCACGUAGUUCUGGCUGAACGUGUCUGGAUCCAUUGAGCGGGUGCCCAAGGUAGGGCACUCGUGUCAACCAGACCUUGUAGCAGUGGAAGGAGAAAUACGGGUUGCAGCCAUAGGGCUGAGUGCUCUGAGCAGGAGGCAAGUGAGCAGAAUGCAUGACAUGUCUGCAAUUGCUUUGGGAAGAGUGCAGCCAAAACUGUAAAUUGUGUUACACGCAAAAGAUAAAAUCUGUUCUGAAUCGUGGAAGCCCUCACGUUGUUUUAAGUGAGAUUUCUGUGUAUGUAUACAUACACACAGCCGCUGUCCUCGCCCUGCCCGCUGCGUGUCUGCUCCCACUGCUGGCGUGCAGAGGUUGUCCUGCCUUGGAAAUAGAGCUUACACAUGCACAUGCCCUCCCAAAAUUGACGUGUUGCUCUGGUUGUGGCUGGCUGUUGUAUCCAGCGUCACGACAAAGUAACCCAUCCAUCUAAACACAACAACAGCACAAGGGAUGGGGCUGCUCUGCGUGAGCUGCCUGGUGUCCAAAAUGAAGGUAUGUAUUUAAAGGCAUCGGAUAAGCCUACCCGUGCAGGUAUUCCAGGAAAGGAUGAAGUGUGUCUCACGAUUCCAGGAACAGAAGGGAGUUGGUAAAUCACGUGCACAGCGAGAUAAACCCCAGGCAGCCCUGCAGCAUGGCGUAGAUUUGGAUGGCUUACGUCAGGAGCGUUCUGUAGCAGAGCACGGAGCAGGCUCAUUCCAGCAGAACAGCACUUGAAGAGAUGAUUCCUGGAAAGUGCUUUACAUCUGAAUUUUUGGGCAGUGGUUUCCUUGUGCCAGCAAAGCCUGUGUAAGUCAGGGCUCUGUGAAAGAGAACAUUUAAUACAGUGCAAAGCCCAGCAGCCCAGGCUGGGUUAGGAAAUCAGCAGAUCUGGUGAAUGAAUCAGGCUCAGCCCACAGGAAUCUUGCUGCAGGAAAGCAGCCAUUGCCAGGAGGGGUCAGGCUGUUGUCCUCCAUCCACUGCCUCUGAAGGAAACAGCAGCACAUAGGUAGAAAAGAAACUUACAGACCCUAACUGGAGCAUAAGCUGUCAGUUACAGUGUCUCAUUUCUGUGCUGGUUUUGCAUGUUUGUAAGACCUGUCUGUAUAUAGAACUUAGAAGCAUCCAGUCCUGUGGUCCAUGAAGAGAUGAACUGUCUGUAAUGUGCUUAUCUAGAAGGCUGGGUCCCACCUAUGAAAUCUGUUGCCUUUUACCAAAUAUAUGAGGAAAAAGCAGACACGGGGGCUAUCCAAAUUGUGGUUUCCUGAUCCUCUGCAUUUAUUUCAAGGGUAUUGGUGGCACUUCCAGCUUUAUCCUGCCUGAAAGGUCAGGGUGGAAAGCUGCUGAAUGUGUGGUUGUGGGGGGCUGCUUUCUCUUCCAUCUGCCCUGUGCAUCCUCUAGAAAAGAACCAUAGAAUCAUAGAAUCAUUUGAGUUGGAAGGGACCCUUAACGGCCAUCUGGUCCAACUCCCCUGCAAUGAACAGGGACACCUACAGCUGAUCAAGUGCUCAGAGCUCCAUCCGGCCUGACCUUGAGUAUCUCCAGGGGCAGGGCAUCCACCAACUCUCUGGGCAGCCUGUUCUAAGGAAGCAGACAUUUGCUGGUCACAGGUAAGAUAGAACAGUGUUUUCUGUUGUCAUUGUUGUCAUGAGGAUUCACCAAGAUUGUGUUCAUGCACAGUUACCAACUUAAAUGCUGCUGAAGGUGGUGAAAGUUUUGUACCUGAAUUUGGGAGGAGUUCAGUCAGGCUUGGAGCUCUUCUGGUGACAAAUAUUGUAGGAUUAAUCAUAGAAUCACAGAAUCAUUUAGGUUGGAAAAGACCACUAAGCUCACCAAGUCCAACCCCAGCCCACUCCCACCAUGCCCAACAACCAUGUCCCUCACUGCCACAUCUCCAUGGUUUUUAACACCUCCAGGGACGGUGACUCCACCAUCUCCCUGGGCAGCCUGUUCCAGUGCCCAACAGAAGAGAUUUUUCUUAAUAACCACCAUGAAACUUCCCUGGCAUAAGGUAAAGCCAUUUAACUGACUUCUACUCGCAGCCUGUGCCCUUGGUAGGUUCGGGACACUCACAGAUGUGGCAUGGCAGCAACCGAAGCAGGCCAGCAUUGAAUAAAGGCCUCCAGCUGCACUCCCUGACCCCCAGCCUCACCACAAUGGGCAUGGGGUGGUAUUAUUUUAAACUUUCUCUAUUUCCCUAUAUGGAGUCUCCAAACCAGCUUAUUGGAUUUUCCCAGUGUUUCAGCUCUUUCUCCUCUAAACGUUCCUCCCAUCCCUUCCUUCUCCCCUCUUGCCAACCUGCUGUUCUGUGUUUUUUCUUAUCUCUUUCUUCUACUAAAUUCUUAUCUUAAAAACAGUGCAUUUGAUUUUGUGCAAUAGUAGAUUUUGCUCCUGGAACAACUCUGCCACCUCUCUUUGGCCAAAUUACGUGUACAUCUACUCUUCUUAAAAACUCAUCAUCUAACAUGACACCCGUAGUAUUUAAACUCUUUCUAAAAUCAAAAUUUAAAUGCUUUAAUUUUACUAUCAUUUCCUGGCUUUUGUGGUUGGGAAAAAAAAAAAAAGCAUUAUACUCAUUUUAAAAUCAUUUCAGGUGUUUUCUUUGCUCAUCUAAGGAAAACCAUCAAGGUUAUUCAUUGUGUUCUCUUUGUUAUCACAGGAGGUUUAAACAUGCCAUGUAAUCUGUGGCCAAUUAAAACACUGAUUUCUGUUAUAAUUGCAGCAGUCAGGUUUGGAGGCGUUUGGGAUGGGUGGAACAGGUGGGACAACUACACAGGGAGAGAUUUCUUGCUUUACUUUUGCAUGAAAUAAAUACAAGUGUGGCUAAUUCCAUGUUCUCCUUCUUCAGAGUCUGCCAGCAGCCGGGGCUCACUCAGGACACAAAGUGAGCAGUACUGAGAGCAGGGACUGGUCAUGGCCAGGAUGCAGGAGUGGGCAUCAAGGAGACCAUGACCCUUCCCAGCCAGUUCUGCCCACACUACCUAACCCAGGUAAAGCUCUGAACUGCACAAAAUCAGAUAUGGAAAGCACGUGCACAUAGGUAUAUAUGUAAAUGUAAAACAUCUCUGCACUACCAUGAUCAGAUGUGUUUGUAUAUGUUUGAGCAUUUCUACACUGGGUGUCAUCCAACCAAACCAAUUUGUUUGGGCAACUUCCCAGGCUUUCUUUCUCUUUACUGCAGAGGACGCAGCGUUACCUCCGCCCAGACUCCCAAACAUCUUCUGGAUGGAUGGUGCGCUGGGCAACCUGGUCUAGUACUAGACCUGGAGGUUGGUGGCCCUGCCUGUGGCAGGGGGGUUGGAACUUGGUGAUCCUUGAGGUCCCUUCCAACCCAAGCCAUUCUUUGAUUCUCUGAUGAUUCUGGUCAACCCUGCCUCUCCCCUCCUGAGGACCCCACUGCUCAACAAGAUGCAAGAACUCAUUGUUCCCUUGGGAACGCCUUCAGGACACGCAGCCUAUUGUAGGUGCCCUACUUAAGGCAUGGUCUGUAGCACCUUGGAGCUCUUUCUUCACACUGCUACGUUGUUUUUUUUUUUUAAUCCUAUUCACACUGACAUGCCUUUCACCUAUGGCUCUCAGAUCCAGCUAUGAGAACAAGGUUCGAAGUGGUUCUUGCUAACACAUCAUGCACGGGGCUGAUGGGAGCUGAGCCAGCGCCAUCAGCUUGGUGGCCCACUUGGCCAAGGGCUGCUGCUGUUUGGUCCAAUAACUGCUGAAGUGCUUUUUCUGACGUUUUCCUCACUCCAGAGUGCUUUUCACAAACCCAGAUCUCUGUUCUCAGGCAUCCUUUUGCACUCCCUAGCCAUGCCCCUUGCUCUUCUCUCCCUCAAGAACAAAACAUGGCCUUCCAUUGCAGGAUCACAGUGGACCGCUGAACCUCAGUGCAAUGCACAGACUUAGCACUAGCUACGCGGACAUGCACCCAGCCCAUGGCACGGCCACAGCAAGGGCUGGGCACUGUGCUGCCCGUGGCCAAGAGCACAGCACAGAAAGGACCCAGGAAUGAGGGGGGUGAAAGUAGGAAGGAGCCGUGCUUGGGUGUGUGGGGCCAUCUGCCACCGCAGAAGUACAAUGCCGGAUUCUUGAAAUGUAAAAAUAGAUCUCAAAAGCGACAUGUUUUAAUGAACUGAGCACAAAGGAACAUGGGCGAAAUAAACUGAAAACAGAAGCAAG
This is a long non-coding RNA of Numida meleagris (helmeted guineafowl), 10864 nucleotides long. RefSeq lists it as uncharacterized. The transcript is spliced from 2 exons. The record is from RefSeq and is a predicted model, not a curated record. NCBI's taxonomy places the organism in Eukaryota, Metazoa, Chordata, Aves, Galliformes, Numididae.